GAUGAACGCUGGCGGCGUGCCUAAUACAUGCAAGUCGAGCGAACGGACGAGAAGCUUGCUUCUCUGAUGUUAGCGGCGGACGGGUGAGUAACACGUGGAUAACCUACCUAUAAGACUGGGAUAACUUCGGGAAACCGGAGCUAAUACCGGAUAAUAUUUUGAACCGCAUGGUUCAAAAGUGAAAGACGGUCUUGCUGUCACUUAUAGAUGGAUCCGCGCUGCAUUAGCUAGUUGGUAAGGUAACGGCUUACCAAGGCAACGAUGCAUAGCCGACCUGAGAGGGUGAUCGGCCACACUGGAACUGAGACACGGUCCAGACUCCUACGGGAGGCAGCAGUAGGGAAUCUUCCGCAAUGGGCGAAAGCCUGACGGAGCAACGCCGCGUGAGUGAUGAAGGUCUUCGGAUCGUANAACUCUGUUAUUAGGGAAGAACAUAUGUGUAAGUAACUGUGCACAUCUUGACGGUACCUAAUCAGAAAGCCACGGCUAACUACGUGCCAGCAGCCGCGGUAAUACGUAGGUGGGCAGCGUUAUCCGGAAAUUAUGGGCGUAAAGCGCGCGUAGGCGGUUUUUUAGUCUGAUGUGAAAGCCCACGGCUCAACCGUGGAGGGUCAUUGGAAACUGGAAAACUUGAGUGCAGAAGAGGAAAGUGGAAUUCCAUGUGUAGCGGUGAAAUGCGCAGAGAUAUGGAGGAACACCAGUGGCGAAGGCGACUUUCUGGUCUGUAACUGACGCUGAUGUGCGAAAGCGUGGGGAUCAAACAGGAUUAGAUACCCUGGUAGUCCACGCCGUAAACGAUGAGUGCUAAGUGUUAGGGGGUUUCCGCCCCUUAGUGCUGCAGCUAACGCAUUAAGCACUCCGCCUGGGGAGUACGACCGCAAGGUUGAAACUCAAAGGAAUUGACGGGGACCCGCACAAGCGGUGGAGCAUGUGGUUUAAUUCGAAGCAACGCGAAGAACCUUACCAAAUCUUGACAUCCUUUGACAACUCUAGAGAUAGAGCCUUCCCCUUCGGGGGACAAAGUGACAGGUGGUGCAUGGUUGUCGUCAGCUCGUGUCGUGAGAUGUUGGGUUAAGUCCCGCAACGAGCGCAACCCUUAAGCUUAGUUGCCAUCAUUAAGUUGGGCACUCUAAGUUGACUGCCGGUGACAAACCGGAGGAAGGUGGGGAUGACGUCAAAUCAUCAUGCCCCUUAUGAUUUGGGCUACACACGUGCUACAAUGGACAAUACAAAGGGCAGCGAAACCGCGAGGUCAAGCAAAUCCCAUAAAGUUGUUCUCAGUUCGGAUUGUAGUCUGCAACCCGACUACAUGAAGCUGGAAUCGCUAGUAAUCGUAGAUCAGCAUGCUACGGUGAAUACGUUCCCGGGUCU
This 1371-nucleotide ribosomal RNA is filed under the name uncultured bacterium. RNAcentral describes it as "bacterial SSU rRNA". It matches the Rfam family "Bacterial small subunit ribosomal RNA", at positions 28 to 1381 of the family's 1533-position model. The record is from RNAcentral.